GCUUAACACCCACGUCCGCCGCGGGCCGGCCCUCCGCCCCGCCCACCCGCGGGGGAGCGCAAAGGGCGGCGGCCCCCGGGGCCCGGAGCUCCCCUGCGGCUGGGGGCUGGCAGCGCGGGGCCGGCGCGGGGAAGCGGAAGUCCGCGGCUUAGGCGGCGCACUCGGCCCCGCGCAGGUCACGGGACCCCCGGCCCGCGCGCCCGCGAGCUGGAGGACCUGGAGGACAGGGAGCCCGGACCCCCGGAGUUGCUGCCCUUCGUCCCGGUUCCCGGAGGACUCCGGAGAGGCUCGACCCCAGCUGGAACUCAGGGCGGGGGUUGGUGGUGCUGGGAGGACCCGCUGAAGUCUUCUGGACAAGAAAUCGUGUAACUUUGCAAAAGAAAAAUUUUAACCAUUCCAUUGAUCUUUGAAAGACUGCAAUCUUACUUAACAUAAAGAUACAGCAAGAGACGGAACACAGUCGGGAGUACUGGGAGAGGGAGAAGCAGGCUUCACACCAAGCAAGGAGCCCGAUGAAGGGCUGGAUCCCAGGACACUCAGAUCAGGACCUGAAGGCAGACACCCAACAACUGAGUCACCCAGGCGCCCCAGUAUUGGUUUUAUAUAAACUUUAAAAUGUCAAAAGUUGAAGGUAAUGGAUACUUGUUGAAGCACAAUAGUAACUCAGAACAACACAUUAAAGUAAUAUAUUAAAGUAUAAAUUAAGCACAAUACUAACUCAGAACAUAUUAAGUUAAAUAUGUAUUUUAUAUAUAUAUUUAUGUAAUGGGUAAAGGAGAGGGGUGGGGAAAAAAAGAGUGGCGGUUAUAGUUCACUGGAUUUUUAGAUGCCAAUUUAUUUCAGAAACUAUAUAUAUUGCAAGCCAAUAUUAAAGUAGCUAAAUCUCUCCACAUAUCAUGAUAGAUCCAUCGGAUGGAAUAGUACUCAGCUCAUGCUAUUCACAUGAAGGAAACAAUGAAAAGUUGGAUUAAAAAACAAAGGGAUGCUCUGUAAUACUCCUUUUAUACAACUUCUGGAACACGACUGGAAUUAAUAAAGCAUUCCGCGCUGCCCACACCAUCUCAGCUUCACUCCGCCAAACUGGAAUUGCAUGCUUGGUGAACAAGCUUCGUGGUGGCAGAACGUCGGGGUUUAACGCCAGUAUCGGUGCAGUGGGAGUACUUUAAAUGACGAAUCAAAGAAAAAAUGGAGGCAGGAAUGAGACCGUUAUAGUCUCGGGAAGUUAAAAAAAAAAAAAAAAAAAAAAGGAGUGGGUGAGACAACUUUGCUUCUGGAGCCCGGACUGAAUGGGGGGAGGCGUGGCGGAGCGCUCGGGACAGGAGCCAACCUUGUACCCCGAGCUCUGUUUCUCACCCCGUUAUGACCUUGGGCAAGUCAUGUUAGCUUUCUGGGAUUUCCCGUUCCUCAGCUUUAAAGCAACGGCCUCUGAGAUCCCGCGGGCGGGAACAUCCACCCCAGGAAGCGGAGAAGGACCACUGAACGCCCCGGAGGUCGCCUUGACACCCGCAGGGCCAACAGCGCCCCAAUGCGGUACC
Mustela lutreola (European mink) is the source of this 1535-nucleotide long non-coding RNA. RefSeq lists it as uncharacterized. The record is from RefSeq and is a predicted model, not a curated record. Lineage: Eukaryota; Metazoa; Chordata; Mammalia; Carnivora; Mustelidae. The transcript has 3 exons.